AUUGAACGCUGGCGGCACGCUUAACACAUGCAAGUCGAACGGCAGCGGGGGGAGUUAGGCUUCCUGCCGGCGAGUGGCGAACGGGUGAGUAACGCGUAGGGAUCUGCCUGUUAGAGGGGGAUAAGCCGUGGAAACGCGGUCUAAUACCGCAUACGCCCUAAGGGGGAAAGUAUGGGACCGAAAGGCCAUACGCUAACAGAUGAACCUGCGUUAGAUUAGCUAGUUGGUAGGGUAAAGGCCUACCAAGGCGACGAUCUAUAGCUGGUCUGAGAGGAUGACCAGCCACACUGGAACUGAGAUACGGACCAGACUCCUACGGGAGGCAGCAGUGGGGAAUAUUGGACAAUGGGGGCAACCCUGAUCCAGCGAUGCCGCGUGUGUGAAGAAGGCCUGAGGGUUGUAAAGCACUUUAGUUGGGGAGGAAAGCCUGAGGAUGAAUAAGCCUUAGGGGAGACGUUACCCAAAGAAUAAGCACCGGCUAACUCUGUGCCAGCAGCCGCCGUAA
This 505-nucleotide ribosomal RNA is filed under the name uncultured bacterium. Its description in RNAcentral is "partial 16S ribosomal RNA". It matches the Rfam family "Bacterial small subunit ribosomal RNA", at positions 29 to 523 of the family's 1533-position model. The record is from RNAcentral.